RNAcentral lists this ribosomal RNA (245 nucleotides) under uncultured bacterium. RNAcentral describes it as "partial 16S ribosomal RNA". It matches the Rfam family "Bacterial small subunit ribosomal RNA", at positions 524 to 768 of the family's 1533-position model. The record is from RNAcentral.
GACGAACCGUGCAAACGUUGUUCGGAAUCACUGGGCUUAAAGGGCGCGUAGGCGGCGGGCCAAGUCUGAAGUGAAAUCGUUCGGCUCAACCGGACAACUGCUUUGGAUACUGGUCCGCUGGAGGGAGGUAGGGGCAGAGGGAACUUCCGGUGGAGCGGUGAAAUGCGUAGAUAUCGGAAGGAACGCCGGUGGCGAAAGCGCUCUGCUGGACCUUUACUGACGCUGAGGCGCGAAAGCCAGGGGAG